RNAcentral lists this transfer RNA (72 nucleotides) under Delftia sp. UME58. RNAcentral's name for it is "tRNA-OTHER". It matches the Rfam family "tRNA". Rfam says of the family: Transfer RNA (tRNA) molecules are approximately 80 nucleotides in length. Lineage: Bacteria; Pseudomonadati; Pseudomonadota; Betaproteobacteria; Burkholderiales; Comamonadaceae. The record is from RNAcentral.
GGAUCUAUAGUCUAAUUUGGCAAGACGUCGCCCCCAAAGGCGAAAAUCCCGGUUCGAUUCCGGGUAGAUAAA